AGUGAACGCUGGCGGUAGGCCUAACACAUGCAAGUCGAACGGCAGCACAGUAAGAGCUUGCUCUUACGGGUGGCGAGUGGCGGACGGGUGAGGAAUACAUCGGAAUCUACUUUUUCGUGGGGGAUAACGUAGGGAAACUUACGCUAAUACCGCAUACGACCUACGGGUGAAAGCAGGGGAUCUUCGGACCUUGCGCGAUUGAAUGAGCCGAUGUCGGAUUAGCUAGUUGGCGGGGUAAAGGCCCACCAAGGCGACGAUCCGUAGCUGGUCUGAGAGGAUGAUCAGCCACACUGGAACUGAGACAAGGUCCAGACUCCUACGGGAGGCAGCAGUGGGGAAUAUUGGACAAUGGGCGAAAGCCUGAUCCAGCCAUACCGCGUGGGUGAAGAAGGCCUUCGGGUUGUAAAGCCCUUUUGUUGGGAAAGAAAAGCAGCAGGUUAAUACCCCGCUGUUCUGACGGUACCCAAAGAAUAAGCACCGGCUAACUUCGUG
This 492-nucleotide ribosomal RNA is filed under the name uncultured bacterium. Its description in RNAcentral is "partial 16S ribosomal RNA". It matches the Rfam family "Bacterial small subunit ribosomal RNA", at positions 29 to 507 of the family's 1533-position model. The record is from RNAcentral.